GCGUGCUUAACCCCAUGCAAGUCGAGCGGUAAGGCCCUUUCGGGGGUCCCCGAGCGCGAACGGGUGAGUAACACGUGGGUGACCUGCCCUCCACUCUGGGAUAAGCCCGGGAAACUGGGUCUAAUACCGGAUAGGACCAUUGAUCGCAUGGUUGGUGGUGGAAAGUUUUUUCGGUGGGGGAUGGGCCCGCGGCCUAUCAGCUUGUUGGUGGGGUGAUGGCCUACCAAGGCGGUGACGGGUAGCCGGCCUGAGAGGGCGACCGGCCACACUGGGACUGAGACACGGCCCAGACUCCUACGGGAGGCAGCAGUGGGGAAUAUUGCGCAAUGGGCGGAAGCCUGACGCAGCGACGCCGCGUGGGGGAUGACGGCCUUCGGGUUGUAAACCUCUUUCGCCAGGGACGAAGAGCAAUUGACGGUACCUGGAGAAGAAGCACCGGCCAACUACGUGCCAGCAGCCGCGGUAACACGUAGGGUGCGAGCGUUGUCCGGAAUUAUUGGGCGUAAAGAGCUCGUAGGCGGUGUGUCGCGUCGGCCGUGAAAACUUGGGGCUUAACUCUGAGCGUGCGGUCGAUACGGGCAUCACUUGAGUUCGGCAGGGGAGACUGGAAUUCCUGGUGUAGCGGUGAAAUGCGCAGAUAUCAGGAGGAACACCGGUGGCGAAGGCGGGUCUUUUGGCCGAUACUGACGCUGAGGAAGCGAAAGCGUGGGGAGCGAACAGGAUAAAUACCCUG
Molecule: ribosomal RNA, 733 nt
Filed under: Pseudonocardia sp. B951
Lineage: Bacteria; Bacillati; Actinomycetota; Actinomycetes; Pseudonocardiales; Pseudonocardiaceae
Description: bacterial SSU rRNA
Rfam family: Bacterial small subunit ribosomal RNA
Source: RNAcentral